GGCCCGUUGGUCAAGGGGUUAAGACGUCUCUCUUUCACGGAGAAAUCAGGGGUUCGAUUCCCCUACGGGCUA
This 72-nucleotide transfer RNA is filed under the name Bacteroidota bacterium. RNAcentral describes it as "Bacteroidetes bacterium (mine drainage metagenome) tRNA-Glu". It matches the Rfam family "tRNA". From Rfam's summary of the family: Transfer RNA (tRNA) molecules are approximately 80 nucleotides in length. The record is from RNAcentral. Lineage: Bacteria; Pseudomonadati; Bacteroidota.